CCCUUAGAUGUUCUGGGCUGCACGCGCGCUACACUGAUGCGCUCAACGAGUUUAUGAACUUGCCCGGAAGGGUUGGUUAAUCUUUUUAAAACGCAUCGUGAUGGGGAUAGAUUAUUGCAAUUAUUAAUCUUCAACGAGGAAUGCCUAGUAGGCGCAAGUCAUCAGCUUGCGUCGAUUACGUCCCUGCCCUUUGUACACACCGCCCGUCGCUCCUACCGAUUGGGUGUGCUGGUGAAAUGUUCGGAUCGGCCGUUUGUCGCGGUUUCCGCGUCAUGUGGCUGAGAAGUUCAUUAAACCCUCCCACCUAGAGGAAGGAGAAGUCGUAACA
This 328-nucleotide ribosomal RNA is filed under the name uncultured eukaryote. Its description in RNAcentral is "partial 18S ribosomal RNA". It matches the Rfam family "Eukaryotic small subunit ribosomal RNA", at positions 1470 to 1796 of the family's 1831-position model. The record is from RNAcentral.